UUUGAGAUGAAAGUCUGGUGUCAGAUUC
This 28-nucleotide non-coding RNA is filed under the name Mus musculus (house mouse). The record is from RNAcentral. Lineage: Eukaryota; Metazoa; Chordata; Mammalia; Rodentia; Muridae.